ACAAAAUAUAUAAAUCUUCAUAACAGCAACUAGUCCGUUAAUUGAUUCUGGAUCUUCUAUACUUGGAUUACUUUUCCAAUAAUUUGCAACAUCUAACAAACACAGAUGAGUUUAUGUCACUAUGCAUCAAUAGCAUCAGUGUAGGAAUAAGCUGCACUACCAAGCUCCAUUGGUGGAAGAUCUGCAUCUGCAAAUCAAGAUCUAAAAUCUCCAACCAAAUAAAAUUAAAUAUCAUAUUAUUUUAUUUAGUAAUAAACCCUAAAAAAAAGGGACCACCUCACAAAGAAGGGACAAAAAACCCUUCAAAUAUGGAGACAAAAUAACAAUAACAAAACCGAAAAAAGGACAUAUCUAAGUUUAUUAGAGUGAAUAAAAGAUUAAAAGUAGAAUAAGGUGAAGCGAAAAAGAAAGUAGAAGAUAGGGGAGCGGAAAGGAAAGUAGAAGAUAGGGGCUACCGCUGAUAAACAGCCCCAAAACAAAACUACAGUUAAAAGGCUAGAGACAAAAGAGAGAAAAAAGCAGUUAUUUUUUAUAAUACAAAGUCUUUUAUUGUCUUGAUAAACUUCUAUUUUAUUUUUUAGCCAAUUAAAAUCAUAACAUCAGUAAUAAAAUUCUUAACAUAAUUAAAUCAAGACCGAACAUUGUUAAAAUUAAUCACGUCCUUUUUUGUCUAUUUAAAUUAAUGAAGCAACAGGCCUGAUAAACAACCACUAAUAUGCAACAAUUUAGUAAAAAAAACUUACAAAUGUGUUGCAGUGUCGAAAACUCAGACUCACAGAAAGCAUGCCGAUUAACAAUACUAAUACAAUCUCUAAUACAAUUAAAAAUCUCUAAUACGAUUAAUUAAUAAAGAAGAAAGUGGAGUUGCAUCAACUAAAAAAUAUAUAGUUAUGUCUAAUAUGAUUUACAAUUAUAAUUAUAGUGAAUAUCUACCUUGAGAAAGAUGCAUUUUCAUAGGAAACUGCAUAUAUCAACUCGGGGUUACUAUGCAGUUGAUAGAUAACCCUGUGUCCGCGAAUCCUCUAAUAGGUCAUUUUUUGCGCAAGAGCCAGCUUUUGGUUAAAUCGCACCAGAUGCUAGAGAGAGUCCAAGACAUGGAGAAGAUUAUUUUAGCAUGACAAAGAUUAAACCUUUGCUUGUAUGCAUCUGGCAAGAUCAAAAGUAGCAGAUGAUAUUUUAUGAAUUUAUGUGCUCAACACAAAUAUCUGCUGAAAUUAUAAAAUAUACAUAUGAACCAAUCUCUAUCAAACUAAACAAAAUGAAUCGGAUAACUAUCCAUACUACAAUACUCAAAAAAACAUCCCUACUACAGAUAAUACCUUCUCUACUGUGAUAAUAAAAUUUUUUCAAAAAAAAAAAAAAAAGAAUCAAAUAACAAAUAAUUACACCUACUACAAAUAAAUACAUUCUCUACCUAACACAUUUAUUGACGAUGGAGUUGCAAUCUGUUUUUCAUAAUCUCUACAUAAUUAUAAUCUCUACAUAAUCGCUGAAUUUUAGGUAGAAUUCAUAAUUCAAAUAAUAAUUUGUUACUGUACAUAAUCUAAGCUAUAUAGUGAUUUUAGAAAAUAUUAAUAUCAAUAGAAUCACUAAAAGGAUAAAAAAAAUUAAAAAAUUUGUAAAAAAAAAAAAAAGAAUAUUGAAUGGAAAGAGCGCGUUGAACUUAUU
This 1668-nucleotide long non-coding RNA is filed under the name Jatropha curcas. Its description in RNAcentral is "long non-coding RNA (JCUR_LNC001807)". The record is from RNAcentral. Lineage: Eukaryota; Viridiplantae; Streptophyta; Magnoliopsida; Malpighiales; Euphorbiaceae.